UUGUCUCUCUUGAGUGGAUCCUGAGUACGACGGAGCACGUGAAAUUCCGUCGGAAUCUGGGAGGACCAUCUCCUAAGGCUAAAUACUCUCUAGUGACCGAUAGUGAACCAGUACCGUGAGGGAAAGGUGAAAAGCACCCCGGAAGGGGAGUGAAAUAGAACCUGAAACCGUGUGCUUACAAGUAGUCAGAGCCCGUUAAUGGGUGAUGGCGUGCCUUUUGUAGAAUGAACCGGCGAGUUACGAUUUGAUGCAAGGUUAAGCAGUAAAUGUGGAGCCGUAGCGAAAGCGAGUCUGAAUAGGGCGUUUAGUAUUUGGUCGUAGACCCGAAACCAGGUGAUCUACCCUUGGUCAGGUUGAAGUUCAGGUAACACUGAAUGGAGGACCGAACCGACUUACGUUGAAAAGUGAGCGGAUGAACUGAGGGUAGCGGAGAAAUUCCAAUCGAACCUGGAGAUAGCUGGUUCUCUCCGAAAUAGCUUUAGGGCUAGCCUCAAGUGAUGAUUAUUGGAGGUAGAGCACUGUUUGGACGAGGGGCCCCUCUCGGGUUACCGAAUUCAGACAAACUCCGAAUGCCAAUUAAUUUAACUUGGGAGUCAGAACAUGGGUGAUAAGGUCCGUGUUCGAAAGGGAAACAGCCCAGACCACCAGCUAAGGUCCCAAAAUAUAUGUUAAGUGGAAAAGGAUGUGGCGUUGCCCAGACAACUAGGAUGUUGGCUUAGAAGCAGCCAUCAUUUAAAGAGUGCGUAAUAGCUCACUAGUCGAGUGACACUGCGCCGAAAAUGUACCGGGGCUAAACAUAUUACCGAAGCUGUGGAUUGUCCUUUGGACAAUGGUAGGAGAGCGUUCUAAGGGCGUUGAAGCAUGAUCGUAAGGACAUGUGGAGCGCUUAGAAGUGAGAAUGCCGGUGUGAGUAGCGAAAGACGGGUGAGAAUCCCGUCCACCGAUUGACUAAGGUUUCCAGAGGAAGGCUCGUCCGCUCUGGGUUAGUCGGGUCCUAAGCUGAGGCCGACAGGCGUAGGCGAUGGAUAACAGGUUGA
This 1037-nucleotide ribosomal RNA is filed under the name Staphylococcus aureus. RNAcentral describes it as "partial 23S ribosomal RNA". It matches the Rfam family "Bacterial large subunit ribosomal RNA", at positions 388 to 1433 of the family's 2925-position model. Lineage: Bacteria; Bacillati; Bacillota; Bacilli; Caryophanales; Staphylococcaceae. The record is from RNAcentral.